UACGUAGGGCGCAAGCGUUGUCCGGAAUUAUUGGGCGUAAAGAGCUCGUAAGCGGCUUGUCACGUCGGGUGUGAAAGCCCGGGGCUUAACCCCGGGUCUGCAUUCGAUACGGGCUAGCUAGAGUGUGGUAGGGGAGAUCGGAAUUCCUGGUGUAGCGGUGAAAUGCGCAGAUAUCAGGAGGAACACCGGUGGCGAAGGCGGGUCUCUGGGCCGAUACUGACGCUGAGGAGCGAAAGCGUGGGGAGCGAACAGG
This 253-nucleotide ribosomal RNA is filed under the name uncultured bacterium. RNAcentral's name for it is "partial 16S ribosomal RNA". It matches the Rfam family "Bacterial small subunit ribosomal RNA", at positions 524 to 776 of the family's 1533-position model. The record is from RNAcentral.